GGGUUGUGAGGUUAAGCGACUAAGCGUACACGGUGGAUGCCCUGGCAGUCAGAGGCGAUGAAGGACGUGCUAAUCUGCGAUAAGCGUCGGUAAGGUGAUAUGAACCGUUAUAACCGGCGAUUUCCGAAUGGGGAAACCCAGUGUGAUUCGUCACACUAUCAUUACGUGAAUACAUAGCGUAAUGAAGCGAACCGGGGGAACUGAAACAUCUAAGUACCCCGAGGAAAAGAAAUCAACCGAGAUUCCCCCAGUAGCGGCGAGCGAACGGGGAGCAGCCCAGAGUCUGAAUCAGCUUGUGUGUUAGUGGAACGGUCUGGAAAGUCCGACGGUACAGGGUGAUAGUCCCGUACACCAAAAUGCACAGGUUGUGAACUCGAAGAGUAGGGCGGGACACGUGGUAUCCUGUCUGAAUAUGGGGGGACCAUCCUCCAAGGCUAAAUACUCCUGACUGACCGAUAGUGAACCAGUACCGUGAGGGAAAGGCGAAAAGAACCCCGGCGAGGGGAGUGAAAAAGAACCUGAAACCGUGUACGUACAAGCAGUGGGAGCNNNNNNNNNNNNNNGACUGCGUACCUUUUGUAUAAUGGGUCAGCGACUUAUAUUCUGUAGCAAGGUUAACCGUAUAGGGGAGCCGAAGGGAAACCGAGUCUUAACUGGGCGUUAAGUUGCAGGGUAUAGACCCGAAACCCGGUGAUCUAGCCAUGGGCAGGUUGAAGGUUGGGUAACACUAACUGGAGGACCGAACCGACUAAUGUUGAAAAAUUAGCGGAUGACUUGUGGCUGGGGGUGAAAGGCCAAUCAAACCGGGAGAUAGCUGGUUCUCCCCGAAAGCUAUUUAGGUAGCGCCUCGUGAACUCAUCUUCGGGGGUAGAGCACUGUUUCGGCUAGGGGGUCAUCCCGACUUACCAACCCGAUGCAAACUGCGAAUACCGAAGAAUGUUAUCACGGGAGACACACGGCGGGUGCUAACGUCCGUCGUGAAGAGGGAAACAACCCAGACCGCCAGCUAAGGUCCCAAAGUCAUGGUUAAGUGGGAAACGAUGUGGGAAGGCACAGACAGCCAGGAUGUUGGCUUAGAAGCAGCCAUCAUUUAAAGAAAGCGUAAUAGCUCACUGGUCGAGUCGGCCUGCGCGGAAGAUGUAACGGGGCUAAACCAUGCACCGAAGCUGCGGCAGCGACACUAUGUGUUGUUGGGUAGGGGAGCGUUCUGUAAGCCGUUGAAGGUGUAUCGUGAGGUAUGCUGGAGGUAUCAGAAGUGCGAAUGCUGACAUAAGUAACGAUAAUGCGGGUGAAAAACCCGCACGCCGGAAGACCAAGGGUUCCUGUCCAACGUUAAUCGGGGCAGGGUGAGUCGACCCCUAAGGCGAGGCCGAAAGGCGUAGUCGAUGGGAAACAGGUUAAUAUUCCUGUACUUGGUGUUACUGCGAAGGGGGGACGGAGAAGGCUAUGUUAGCCGGGCGACGGUUGUCCCGGUUUAAGCAUGUAGGCGGAGGUUCCAGGUAAAUCCGGUACCUUUUUAACGCUGAGGUGUGAUGACGAGGCACUACGGUGCUGAAGUAACAAAUGCCCUGCUUCCAGGAAAAGCCUCUAAGCAUCAGGUAACACGAAAUCGUACCCCAAACCGACACAGGUGGUCAGGUAGAGAAUACCAAGGCGCUUGAGAGAACUCGGGUGAAGGAACUAGGCAAAAUGGUGCCGUAACUUCGGGAGAAGGCACGCUGAUAUGUAGGUGAAGUGAUUUACUCAUGGAGCUGAAAUCAGUCGAAGAUACCAGCUGGCUGCAACUGUUUAUUAAAAACACAGCACUGUGCAAACACGAAAGUGGACGUAUACGGUGUGACGCCUGCCCGGUGCCGGAAGGUUAAUUGAUGGGGUUAUCCGUAAGGAGAAGCUCUUGAUCGAAGCCCCGGUAAACGGCGGCCGUAACUAUAACGGUCCUAAGGUAGCGAAAUUCCUUGUCGGGUAAGUUCCGACCUGCACGAAUGGCGUAAUGAUGGCCAGGCUGUCUCCACCCGAGACUCAGUGAAAUUGAACUCGCUGUGAAGAUGCAGUGUACCCGCGGCAAGACGGAAAGACCCCGUGAACCUUUACUAUAGCUUGACACUGAACACUGGUCCUUGAUGUGUAGGAUAGGUGGGAGGCUUUGAAGUGUGGACGCCAGUCUGCAUGGAGCCAUCCUUGAAAUACCACCCUUUAAUGGCUGGUGUUCUAACGUGGACCCGUAAUCCGGGUUGCGGACAGUGUCUGGUGGGUAGUUUGACUGGGGCGGUCUCCUCCUAAAGAGUAACGGAGGAGCACGAAGGUUAGCUAAUCCUGGUCGGACAUCAGGAGGUUAGUGCAAAGGCAUAAGCUAGCUUGACUGCGAGAGUGACGGCUCGAGCAGGUGCGAAAGCAGGUCUUAGUGAUCCGGUGGUUCUGAAUGGAAGGGCCAUCGCUCAACGGAUAAAAGGUACUCCGGGGAUAACAGGCUGAUACCGCCCAAGAGUUCAUAUCGACGGCGGUGUUUGGCACCUCGAUGUCGGCUCAUCACAUCCUGGGGCUGAAGUAGGUCCCAAGGGUAUGGCUGUUCGCCAUUUAAAGUGGUACGCGAGCUGGGUUUAGAACGUCGUGAGACAGUUCGGUCCCUAUCUGCCGUGGGCGCUGGAGAAUUGAGGGGGGCUGCUCCUAGUACGAGAGGACCGGAGUGGACGCAUCACUGGUGUUCGGGUUGUCAUGCCAAUGGCAUUGCCCGGUAGCUAAAUGCGGAAGAGAUAAGUGCUGAAAGCAUCUAAGCACGAAACUUGCCCCGAGAUGAGUUCUCCCUGAGACUUUAAGUCUCCUGAAGGAACGUUAAAGACGAUGACGUUGAUAGGUCGGGUGUGUAAGUGUAGCGAUACAUUGAGCUAACCGAUACUAAUGAACCGUGAGGCUUAACCUUACAACGCCGAAG
RNAcentral lists this ribosomal RNA (2929 nucleotides) under Citrobacter freundii. RNAcentral's name for it is "bacterial LSU rRNA". It matches the Rfam family "Bacterial large subunit ribosomal RNA". Lineage: Bacteria; Pseudomonadati; Pseudomonadota; Gammaproteobacteria; Enterobacterales; Enterobacteriaceae. The record is from RNAcentral.